RNAcentral lists this ribosomal RNA (496 nucleotides) under uncultured bacterium. RNAcentral's name for it is "partial 16S ribosomal RNA". It matches the Rfam family "Bacterial small subunit ribosomal RNA", at positions 29 to 507 of the family's 1533-position model. The record is from RNAcentral.
AUGAACGCUGGCGGCGUGCCUCAUACAUGCACGUCGAGCGAACGGACGAGAAGCUUGCUUCUCUGAUGUUAGCGGCGGACGGGUGAGUAACACGUGGAUAACCUACCUAUAAGACUGGGGUAACUUCGGGAAACCGGAGCUAAUACCGGAUAAUAUUUUGAACCGCAUGGUUCAAAAGUGAAAGACGGUCUUGCUGUCACUUAUAGAUGGAUCCGCGCUGCAUUAGCUAGUUGGUAAGGUAACGGCUUACCAAGGCAACGAUGCAUAGCCGACCUGAGAGGGUGAUCGGCCACACUGGAACUGAGACACGGUCCAGACUCCUACGGGAGGCAGCAGUAGGGAAUCUUCCGCAAUGGGCGAAAGCCUGACGGAGCAACGCCGCGUGAGUGAUGAAGGUCUUCGGAUCGUAAAACUCUGUUAUUAGGGAAGAACAUAUGUGUAAGUAACUGUGCACAUCUUGACGGUACCUAAUCAGAAAGCCACGGCUAACUACGUG